Molecule: ribosomal RNA, 481 nt
Filed under: uncultured bacterium
Lineage: Bacteria
Description: bacterial SSU rRNA
Rfam family: Bacterial small subunit ribosomal RNA
Source: RNAcentral
AGGAUGAACGCUAGCGGGAGGCUUAACACAUGCAAGUCGAGGGGUAAAUGGUAGCAAUACUAUGAGACCGGCGAACGGGUGCGUAACGCGUAUGCAACUUACCUUAUGCAGGGGGAUAGCCCGUGGAAACGCGGAUUAAUAUCCCAUAGAUCAGUAAUAUCGCAUGGUAUAACUGGUAAAACUCAGGUGGCAUAAGAUGGGCAUGCGUCUGAUUAGCUAGUUGGUAGGGUAACGGCCUACCAAGGCGACGAUCAGUAGGGGUUCUGAGAGGAUUAACCCCCACACUGGUACUGAGACACGGACCAGACUCCUACGGGAGGCAGCAGUGAGGAAUAUUGGUCAAUGGGCGCAAGCCUGAACCAGCCAUCCCGCGUGAAGGAAGAAGGCCCUACGGGUUGUAAACUUCUUUUCUGUUUGAAGAAUAAGCUCGUCGAGACGAGUGAUGCCGGUAGGACAGGAAUAAGCAUCGGCUAACUCCGUG